RNAcentral lists this non-coding RNA (32 nucleotides) under Homo sapiens (human). Lineage: Eukaryota; Metazoa; Chordata; Mammalia; Primates; Hominidae. The record is from RNAcentral.
UCCAUGGUGUCAUUCAAGAGUGCUGCGACAUU